CUUACAGUGCGUCUACUGUAAGUGGGGCCACUUAGAGAGCACUAACCAAUCACAUUGCAGAACAGAAAGUGAAAAAAUCAACAAACGGCGCAUUAGCCAAUCAGCAUUAGGGCAAAAACAAUUCGAACAAAUAAACGAAUGUCAAACGGUAAAAAUAGACAUGUAAAAGUAAACAUUGCAGUUAAUGGCUUCCUGAAUCUUUCUUUUGAUUGGACGAGCUUUAGUUUGAUUAGAUUUUUCUUUCUGUUCUGCAAUGCGAUUGGUUAGUGUUCUCUAAGUGGCCCCACUUACAGUAGACGCACUGUAAG
This is a non-coding RNA of Paramuricea clavata, 308 nucleotides long. Lineage: Eukaryota; Metazoa; Cnidaria; Anthozoa; Malacalcyonacea; Plexauridae. The record is from the annotation of a GenBank genome assembly.